UACGUAGGUGGCGAGCGUUGUCCGGAUUUACUGGGCGUAAAGCGCGCGCAGGCGGCAGUCUAAGUCCUCUGUGAAAUCACCCGGCUCAACUGGGUGGCUGCGGAGGAGACUGGGCAGCUUGAGGGGCCUAGAGGCCGGUGGAACUCCCGGUGUAGUGGUGAAAUGCGUAGAGAUCGGGAAGAACACCAGUGGCGAAGGCGGCCGGCUGGGGGCGCCCUGACGCUGAGGCGGCGAGAGCG
This 239-nucleotide ribosomal RNA is filed under the name uncultured bacterium. RNAcentral describes it as "partial 16S ribosomal RNA". It matches the Rfam family "Bacterial small subunit ribosomal RNA", at positions 524 to 761 of the family's 1533-position model. The record is from RNAcentral.